This 468-nucleotide ribosomal RNA is filed under the name uncultured bacterium. Its description in RNAcentral is "partial 16S ribosomal RNA". It matches the Rfam family "Bacterial small subunit ribosomal RNA", at positions 28 to 507 of the family's 1533-position model. The record is from RNAcentral.
GACGAACGCUGGCGGCGUGCUUAACACAUGCAAGUCGAACGGAAAGGCCCUGCUUUUGUGGGUUGCUCGAGUGGCGAACGGGUGAGUAACACGUGAGUAACCUGCCCUUGACUGUGUGGUAACUUCAGGAAACUGGGGCUAAUACCGGAGAGGAGCUCCUGCUGCAUGGUGGGGGUUGGAAAGUUUCGGCGGUUGGGGCUGGACUCGCGGCUUAUCAGCUUGUUGGUUGGGUAGGGGCUUACCAAGGCUUUGACGGGUAGCCGGCCUGAGAGGGUGACCGGCCACAUUGGGACUGAGAUACGGACCAGACUGCUACGGGAGGCAGUAGUGGGGAAUAUUGCACAACGGGGGGAAGCGUGAUGCAGCAACGCUGCGUGCGGGAUGACGGCCUUCGGGUUGUAAACAGCUUUCGACUGUGACGAAGCGUGAGUGACGGUAAUGGGUAAAGAAGCACCGGCUAACUACGUG